Molecule: unclassified non-coding RNA, 1353 nt
Filed under: Hevea brasiliensis (rubber tree)
Lineage: Eukaryota; Viridiplantae; Streptophyta; Magnoliopsida; Malpighiales; Euphorbiaceae
Source: RNAcentral
UAACAAACCAACGCGCAAAAUCUAGCUGGCAUAUCUUUUAUCACUCGCCCACUUCCAGGCUUCCAGUUGUUUCCCCUCUUUGCCAACCUCUUCCGCGUUGCUUCUACUUGACUUCACUCUCAACCAUCACUAUAUAAAAUCUCUUCUCAUUCUUUGCUUCUUCAUUCCAUUCCUCGUUUCUUCUUUAGAUCUCUUUUGUGUCCCUUAAUUCGAUUUUUUCAUGCCAUCAAAUCUAUCAAUGGCUUCUAUUGUUUCUGCUAAUUUCUUACUCCAGCUACUGCUGUUUGUCUCUCUAUUCCAUCUCAACUUGGCAGCGAGACUGCUUACUCAAUCCACUGAAACCCAGCAAACCCUUCAGUUCCAGUACCACAAUGGGCCUCUUCUUACUGGCAAAAUUUCUAUGAAUUUGAUAUGGUAUGGCAAGUUUAAACCUUCUCAACGCGCAAUUGUCUCUGAUUUCAUUGCCUCCCUUUCAUCUCCUAAGCCGGCAAUAGCCCAACCCUCUGUCGCCACUUGGUGGAAAGCCACCGAGAAAUACUACCAUCUCAUCAAAUCUCAGAAAGCUUCUUCUCUUGCCCUCUCUUUGGGUACCCAGAUCUUAGAUGAGAGCUGUUCAUUGGGCAAAUCGCUCUCCAAUAAACAAAUUGUUCAAUUAGCAUCGAAGGGUGGCCAAAAAGAUGCUAUUAAUGUGGUUUUAACUUCAGGUGAUGUAUCAGUUGAGGGGUUCUGCUCUUCUAGGUGUGGCACUCAUGGCUCUUCAAUGGCUGCUGAAAAGAUCAAUGGCAAGAACUCCAAGUUUGCUUAUAUCUGGGUUGGUAACUCAGAGACUCAAUGCCCAGGUCAAUGUGCUUGGCCAUUCCAUCAGCCUAUUUAUGGACCACAGACCACACCCUUGAUUUCACCCAACAAUGAUGUAGGUCUUGAUGGUAUGGUCAUCAAUUUGGCUAGCCUUUUAGCUGGGACAGCCACCAACCCGUUUGGAAAUGGUUACUUCCAGGGUCCGAAGGAGGCUCCUCUAGAAGCAGCAUCGGCUUGUACUGGGAUAUAUGGUAAGGGAGCCUAUCCUGGUUAUGCUGGGGAUCUCUUGGUGGACUCAACAACUGGUGCUAGCUACAAUGCACAUGGUGUCAAUGGCAGGAAAUACCUACUCCCAGCUUUGUUUGACCCUUCAACCUCAACCUGCUCUGCUUUGGUUUAAAAAACGCUUGCUAUAUGCAUACUUGUUUGUAUCAUAUAGAUAAUUUAAUUCUUUGAUUCUUUGUACUUUAUCAAGGAGUAGCAUCCAAUAUGCAAGUUCGUUUCCAUAUGUAUACAUAAAAUUCAGUUAUUGAUAUUGCAAAACCUUAAUCUUCU